RNAcentral lists this unclassified non-coding RNA (19 nucleotides) under Mus musculus (house mouse). RNAcentral's name for it is "oocyte_clustered_small_RNA342". The record is from RNAcentral. Lineage: Eukaryota; Metazoa; Chordata; Mammalia; Rodentia; Muridae.
CUCCAUUCAUCUCUCUGCA